This 115-nucleotide ribosomal RNA is filed under the name uncultured bacterium. RNAcentral describes it as "partial 16S ribosomal RNA". It matches the Rfam family "Bacterial small subunit ribosomal RNA", at positions 1360 to 1482 of the family's 1533-position model. The record is from RNAcentral.
CGGUGAAUACGUUCCCGGACCUUGCACACACCGCCCGUCAAGCCAUGGAAGCUGGGUGUACCUAAAGUCGGUAACCGUAAGGAGCCGCCUAGGGUAAAACUAGUGACGUGGGGCU